This 250-nucleotide ribosomal RNA is filed under the name uncultured bacterium. RNAcentral's name for it is "partial 16S ribosomal RNA". It matches the Rfam family "Bacterial small subunit ribosomal RNA", at positions 524 to 773 of the family's 1533-position model. The record is from RNAcentral.
UACGGAGGAUCCAAGCGUUAUCCGGAUUCAUUGGGUUUAAAGGGUGCGUAGGCGGGAUAGUAAGUCAGUGGUGAAAUCCUGCAGCUUAACUGCAGAACUGCCAUUGAUACUGCUAACCUAGAGUACAGCUGAUGUGGGCGGAAUGUGUCGUGUAGCGGUGAAAUGCUUAGAUAUGACACAGAACACCGAUUGCGAAGGCAGCUCACAAAACUGUAACUGACGCUGAGGCACGAAAGUGUGGGGAUCGAAC